CCACCCUCACGCGCCGCGUGGUGUUGGGGCUCUCUCCGCAGCGAGAGGCCCCGAAAGCGAGUGGCGGACCGCCUGGUUUGGCUCCGAGCGCAGUAACUCACUCUCGCUCUGGACGGCCAGCGGCCCUGCCGUGAAACCGUGCUGCCCGCAAGGGCGGCACACCCCACCAAAAGG
Molecule: unclassified non-coding RNA, 174 nt
Filed under: uncultured Sporothrix
Lineage: Eukaryota; Fungi; Ascomycota; Sordariomycetes; Ophiostomatales; Ophiostomataceae
Description: sequence contains ITS2
Source: RNAcentral